RNAcentral lists this ribosomal RNA (253 nucleotides) under uncultured bacterium. RNAcentral describes it as "partial 16S ribosomal RNA". It matches the Rfam family "Bacterial small subunit ribosomal RNA", at positions 524 to 776 of the family's 1533-position model. The record is from RNAcentral.
GACGAAGGGGGCUAGCGUUGUUCGGAAUUACUGGGCGUAAAGCGCGUGUAGGCGGUUGUUCAAGUCGGGUGUGAAAGCCUUGAGCUCAACUCAAGAAAUGCACUCGAUACUGGAUGACUAGAGGACCGGAGAGGAUAGUGGAAUUCCCAGUGUAGUGGUGAAAUACGUAGAGAUUGGGAAGAACACCAGUGGCGAAGGCGGCUAUCUGGGCAGUAACUGACGCUGAGGAGCGAAAGCGUGGGGAGCGAACAGG